Molecule: ribosomal RNA, 495 nt
Filed under: uncultured bacterium
Lineage: Bacteria
Description: bacterial SSU rRNA
Rfam family: Bacterial small subunit ribosomal RNA
Source: RNAcentral
GAUGAACGCUAGCGGCAGGCUUAACACAUGCAAGUCGAGGGGCAGCAUGAUGAAACUUUCGGGUUUCAUUGAUGGCGACCGGCGCAAGGGUGCGUAACGCGUGAGCAACUUGCCCUUAUCAGGGGGAUAACCGGUGGAAACGCCGACUAAUACCCCAUAGCAUCACUUUAAGGCAUCUUUUAGUGAUUAAAGAAUUUCGGAUAAGGAUGGGCUCGCGUGACAUUAGCUAGAUGGCGGGGUAACGGCCCACCAUGGCGACGAUGUCUAGGGGUUCUGAGAGGAAGGUCCCCCACACUGGACUGAGACACGGUCCAGACUCCUACGGGAGGCAGCAGUGAGGAAUAUUGGUCAAUGGCCGAGAGGCUGAACCAGCCAUGCCGCGUGAAGGUCACGGCCCUAUGGGUCUUAAACUUCUUUUGUAAGGGAGCAAUAAGGUUCACGUGCGGACUGAUGAGAGUACCUUACGAAUAAGCAUCGGCUAACUCCGUGCCAGCA